GGGCCAGUGGCGCAACGGAAGCGCACCCGCUUGGCUUGCGGGAGGCUCAGGGUUCAAUUCCCUGCUGGUCCA
This 72-nucleotide transfer RNA is filed under the name Longispora fulva. It matches the Rfam family "tRNA". Rfam says of the family: Transfer RNA (tRNA) molecules are approximately 80 nucleotides in length. The record is from Rfam by way of RNAcentral. Lineage: Bacteria; Bacillati; Actinomycetota; Actinomycetes; Micromonosporales; Micromonosporaceae.